AAAGGUAUGGUAUAAUAAUCUAGUAGAAAAGUGAGACGGUGGCUCCUUAUUCUGAAAGGUAGGUGAUGUCUAUGGACAGUUCAUCAAAAUCUAACGGAAAGGAGGGGCUAAUUUUUGACAGCAUUUGAAGUGGUGGAAGUUCUAUUCAUGUUCGGUAGUUUUACUAUCAGCUUGAUAGGCUUGU
Molecule: non-coding RNA, 184 nt
Organism: Streptococcus cuniculi
Lineage: Bacteria; Bacillati; Bacillota; Bacilli; Lactobacillales; Streptococcaceae
Source: Rfam